Ribosomal RNA from Eimeria tenella, 591 nucleotides. The record is from RefSeq and is a predicted model, not a curated record. NCBI's taxonomy places the organism in Eukaryota, Apicomplexa, Conoidasida, Eucoccidiorida, Eimeriidae.
UAGUCAUAUGCUUGUCUCAAAGAUUAAGCCAUGCAUGUCUAAGUAUAAGCUUUUAUACGGUGAAACUGCGAAUGGCUCAUUAAAACAGUUAUAGUUUAUUUGAUGGUCUCAUUUUACAUGGAUAACCAUGGUAAUUCUAUGGCUAAUACAUGCGCAAAGGUCACCUCCUUUGGAGGGGCUGUGUUUAUUAGAUACAAAACCAACCCACUUUGUAGUGGAGUCUUGGUGAUUCAUAGUAACCGAACGGAUCGCAGUUGGUUCUUUUGGGCCCGCGAUGGAUCAUUCAAGUUUCUGACCUAUCAGCUUUCGACGGUAGGGUAUUGGCCUACCGUGGCAGUGACGGGUAACGGGGAAUUAGGGUUCGAUUCCGGAGAGGGAGCCUGAGAAACGGCUACCACAUCUAAGGAAGGCAGCAGGCGCGCAAAUUACCCAAUGAAAACAGCUUCGAGGUAGUGACGAGAAAUAACAAUACAGGGCAUUUUAUGCUUUGUAAUUGGAAUGAUGGGAAUGUAAAACCCUUCCAGAGUAACAAUUGGAGGGCAAGUCUGGUGCCAGCAGCCGCGGUAAUUCCAGCUCCAAUAGUGUAUAUUA